RNAcentral lists this ribosomal RNA (492 nucleotides) under Brevibacillus sp. Its description in RNAcentral is "bacterial SSU rRNA". It matches the Rfam family "Bacterial small subunit ribosomal RNA", at positions 972 to 1533 of the family's 1533-position model. The record is from RNAcentral. Lineage: Bacteria; Bacillati; Bacillota; Bacilli; Caryophanales; Paenibacillaceae.
UUCCAGGUCCUGACAUCCCCCUGACCGCUCCAGAGAUAGGGGCUUCCUUCGCGUCAGCGGUGGUAGGUGGUGCAUGGUUGUCGUCCGCUCGUGUCCUGAGAUGUUUGGUUAAGUCCCGCAACGAGCGCAAACCUUAUCUUUAGUUGCCAGCAUUCAGUUGGGCACUCUAGAGAGACUGCUGUUGACAAGACGGAGGAAGGCGGGGCUGACGUCAAAUCAUCAUCCCCCUUAUGACCUGGGCUACACACGUGCUACAAUGGCUGGUACAACGGGAAGCUUGCUCGCGAGAGUAUGCCAAUCUCUUAAAACCAGUCUCAGUUCGGAUUUCAGGGUGCAACUCGACUGCAUGAAGUCGGAAUCACUAGUUUUCCUGGAUCUGCAUGCGCGGGGAAAACGUCACCGGGCCUUGUUCUCUCCGCCCGUCCCUAAAGGGGAGAUCAACACUCGAAGCGUGGGGUAUCCUAGCAAACAACCGUCGUGAUUAGACAGAUA